UGCUACAGGUUUUAUACUGAUAGGGGUUGGCGUGUAGCUGACGGAUUGGCUAGAGAGGGGGUGAGAGGGCGGGGAUAGCAGGGGGGGCCGUUCCUGGCGCUCUGAUGGCUACACAGGCGUAUCAGCUAAGUUGGCCAGAAAGAUAGCCGCCUGUGGGGACAGGGCUACACCCUGCGCCCUGCGCCCUGCCCCUGCCCCCUGCCUCCUGCGCCCUGCCCCCUGCCUGUCUCCUCUUUCAAGUUGGAAUAAACUGACCGUGACAUGACACAAACAAGAGCAAGCACCCCUCGCCAGGAUGUGGGGUUCCGCAUCAGCACCUGCACCUCAGCCCGCCUCGGGGAACUUUCCGGAAGACCGUGCAGAUGUCCUCCACGGUGUUCACCCGGCUGGGGAGAGGCCGGCAGCGCCCCUCGCCGCCCACUUCCACCCCCGUAAGUGCCGCGGAACUUCCCGGAACGCCGUCGACUUUCAACAAGGUUUCACUGAUUCUGAAGGUAGUUUCCUGGCUCCUGUGGUCAGUCAUUUCCUGCUCGCCCCGGAACGAUUCUGCUCGUGGUCUGCGAGGGUUCCGGCCUCGGCUUGCUGGCCGCAGGAGCUGGCGAGCGAGCCCUCCCCUGUGAGGGGCACAAGGCGGCGGGGUCCACGGUGCAUCCAGGUCGUCCCUUGUUCGGGGUCUACGUUGUGUCAAAGUAUCUCUCUGGGGGAGUGCAGCGCCAGCGAGGAGAGCAGCAUCUGCUGCAAUGAACCUUGCAAAUCACCCGCCUCCACCUGGCGCGCGUUUCCAAAUGACGUAGUUGUAUGAUUACGGCAAGUGGCCUUGCGUGUCGCGUCCUUCCAGGUCUCUGUCUAGCUCGUGGUGAUUCCGGAGCCUUGAGGAACUCCCGCAUGGGGAGGCCGGGCCGGAGAGCCUGCGAGCUGGGCUCCACGCCGAGGACGAGGGCUUGUGCUCC
Molecule: long non-coding RNA, 950 nt
Filed under: Dasypus novemcinctus (nine-banded armadillo)
Lineage: Eukaryota; Metazoa; Chordata; Mammalia; Cingulata; Dasypodidae
Description: lncRNA (ENSDNOG00000052270.1)
Source: RNAcentral